GGACGGGUGCGUAACGCGUAUGCAACCUGCCUGACACAGGGGGAUAAUCCGAAGAAAUUUGGUCUAAUACCCCAUAAUACCGAUAUAGGCAUCUAUGUUGGUUGAAAGCUUUGGUGGUGUCAGAUGGGCAUGCGUUGUAUUAGCUAGUUGGUGAAGUAACGGCUCACCAAGGCGACGAUACAUAGGGGGACUGAGAGGUUAACCCCCCCACACUGGUACUGAGACACGGACCAGACUCCUACGGGAGGCAGCAUG
RNAcentral lists this ribosomal RNA (255 nucleotides) under uncultured bacterium. Its description in RNAcentral is "partial 16S ribosomal RNA". It matches the Rfam family "Bacterial small subunit ribosomal RNA", at positions 100 to 353 of the family's 1533-position model. The record is from RNAcentral.